This 203-nucleotide long non-coding RNA is filed under the name Hordeum vulgare. RNAcentral describes it as "long non-coding RNA (HVUL_LNC021665)". Lineage: Eukaryota; Viridiplantae; Streptophyta; Magnoliopsida; Poales; Poaceae. The record is from RNAcentral.
GGGGGAAUAGGUUCUCUUGGAGCUAAGUUAGCCUUAUUAGGUCAUUUCGAGGAUAAUUAUCUAAGUAUAUGUCAUUUUGGAGCUAAUUAUGUCAUUUCGAGGAUAAUUAGCUAAGUAUAGGUCAUGUUUUAUUAAAUAGACCAUUUUGGAGCUAAUAAGCUAAUUAUGUCAUUUAGGUGGAAGCCUAGCUAACUAUAGGUCAU